This 125-nucleotide ribosomal RNA is filed under the name Limosilactobacillus reuteri. RNAcentral's name for it is "Lactobacillus reuteri partial 23S ribosomal RNA". It matches the Rfam family "Bacterial large subunit ribosomal RNA", at positions 2804 to 2925 of the family's 2925-position model. Lineage: Bacteria; Bacillati; Bacillota; Bacilli; Lactobacillales; Lactobacillaceae. The record is from RNAcentral.
AUGAGAUUUCCCAUUUCCUUCGGGAAAGUAAGACCCCUCAGAGAUGAUGAGGUAGAUAGGAUGGAAGUGGAAGUGCCUUGAGGCAUGGAGCGGACCAUUACUAAUCGGUCGAGGACUUAACCAAG